GUCAUUUUCAAAUGUUGACGUACGUCUAAUAAAUAUGUCAAAUAAUGCAUAUCAGAUUCUGUAGAACAGUUUAUGAUCUGUUUUAAUCGGAUGGGCAUGCGAUAGUCAUAACUUUAGUUUGAACUGUUGAUUUUUUUAAACAAGGGUAAUCUUUAGUGUGUAUCAGUUUCGGCCAAAGUGUUGCAAGAUAAUUUUAUUCGAAAUCGAUAAGAAGGUUUCCACUCAGGUGGAAAUAAAUCAGAUUAACUCCUACAAUCUACACCUACCAGAGGCUCCCACAAAUUAUAUGGAUCUGACAAUGUCUUCACAUAUAACUGGAGAAACAGAAAAUGGUGAAUUUCUUCGUCAGCUGCUAGAAGAAGACAUUGAUUCAAACUUUGAACCUGUUAAAGGAGGAAGAUCCAGCAAAAGA
This is a long non-coding RNA of Stegodyphus dumicola, 412 nucleotides long. The record is from RefSeq and is a predicted model, not a curated record. NCBI's taxonomy places the organism in Eukaryota, Metazoa, Arthropoda, Arachnida, Araneae, Eresidae.